RNAcentral lists this ribosomal RNA (495 nucleotides) under Hymenoplia lineolata. RNAcentral describes it as "partial 16S large subunit ribosomal RNA". It matches the Rfam family "Bacterial large subunit ribosomal RNA", at positions 1844 to 2600 of the family's 2925-position model. Lineage: Eukaryota; Metazoa; Arthropoda; Insecta; Coleoptera; Scarabaeidae. The record is from RNAcentral.
UAUAAAGUCUGACCUGCCCAAUGAAAAUUUAAAUGGCCGCGGUAUUUUGACCGUGCAAAGGUAGCAUAAUAAUUAGUUUUUUAAUUGAAAGCUGGAAUGAAUGGUUGGACGAGAAAAUAACUGUCUCAUAUUAAUUUAAUUAGAAUUUUAUUUUUAAGUAAAAAAGCUUAAAUUUUUUUAAAAGACGAGAAGACCCUAUAGAGCUUUAUAUGUUUAUAAUUAAAUUUAAUGUAGAAUUUUAGUAUUUUUAUUUUUAAAUGUAUUUUAUUGGGGUGAUAAAAAAAUUAAUAAAACUUUUUUUUUAUAAUAACAUUGAUUUAUGAAUAAUUGAUCCAUUUUUUAUGAUUAAAAGAUUAAGUUACCUUAGGGAUAACAGCGUAAUUUUUUUUUAGAGUUCUUAUCGAAAAAAGAGAUUGCGACCUCGAUGUUGGAUUAAAAUUAAUGUUUGGUGUAGAGGCUAGACAAUUAGGUCUGUUCGACCUUUAAAAUUUUACA